This 508-nucleotide ribosomal RNA is filed under the name uncultured bacterium. Its description in RNAcentral is "bacterial SSU rRNA". It matches the Rfam family "Bacterial small subunit ribosomal RNA", at positions 8 to 507 of the family's 1533-position model. The record is from RNAcentral.
AGAGUUUGAUCAUGGCUCAGGAUGAACGCUAGCGGCAGGCUUAAUACAUGCAAGGUCGAGGGGCAGCAGCUUUGUAGCAAUACAGGGGCUGGCGACCGGCAAACGGGUGCGGAACACGUACGCAACCUUCCUUUAACUGGAAGAUAGCCCACCGAAAGGUGGAUUAAUACUCCAUAACAUAUUGAAGAGGCAUCUCUUUGAUAUUAAAGCUCCGGCGGUUAAAGAUGGGCGUGCGUCUGAUUAGGUAGUUGGCGGGGUAACGGCCCACCAAGCCUUCGAUCAGUAGCUGAUGUGAGAGCAUGAUCAGCCACACGGGCACUGAGACACGGGCCCGACUCCUACGGGAGGCAGCAGUAAGGAAUAUUGGUCAAUGGACGCAAGUCUGAACCAGCCAUGCCGCGUGGAGGAUGAAGGCCCUCUGGGUUGUAAACUUCUUUUCUUUGGGACGAAACCCCUGUUUCUACGGGGACUGACGGUACCAGAGGAAUAAGCACCGGCUAACUCCGUG